Long non-coding RNA from Leopardus geoffroyi (Geoffroy's cat), 2074 nucleotides. RefSeq lists it as uncharacterized. NCBI's taxonomy places the organism in Eukaryota, Metazoa, Chordata, Mammalia, Carnivora, Felidae. The transcript is spliced from 2 exons. The record is from RefSeq and is a predicted model, not a curated record.
UGCUGACAGCUGGAGCCUGUCUGGGUUUUCUCUCUGCCCCCAUCCCACUUGCGCACGCAUGUGCUCGCUCUCUCUCAAAAUAAAGAAAAAAGAUUUCCCAAAGACAUUACGUACCUUUAUCAGGAAACCAGUGAAUCUGUCGCCUACAUCACUGGGUCUCAGUCUCCUCAGCCCUAAAGCGAAGUUCAGAGACCACACAGACUACACCUCUGUGGAUACGGAUCCGCGAGACACGCUCGGUGAGCUCCCUACGCCGGUCUGCUGCGCAGGAACUGCAACCCCUGACUGCCGUACCAGGCGCGCAGCUGGACCACCUCCAGGCAGAGGCGAGCCCCCCUCUCUCUGCACCGGGCCCAGGAAACCGACAGGAGGCUCCGAGGCGUGGUGGGAGGGCACAGGGUCACAGGGUCUCGUGUCAGAGGAACCCCAGAGGUCAUCGGAUGUCACCCCGACCGCUUCCAGAAGAGAAAACGGACAGCAGGGGGGCUGACCGCAUGCCUGGCGUCGUCACAACUAUGAGUGAAGCCCAGCACGCGCCAGGCUCCUUCCACUCAGCCCCGCGGCGUCUCAACAACACGGGCUUCCGCCGACUCAGCAUCUACUCAAAAGCUCCCCGGACGAACAGAGAAACCAUCACUGGCUUCCCACCACCCUAUUCCUACAGAAAAGACCCCACGUUCCCCGAUUUCCCCCCGGGCAGAUACUUCCGGCUUUACCACGUAACGCUCCGCAGCCGAAACCACGGCUCCAGCCACGAGAGACACACGCCCUCGGGACUAAAGCAGUCAUGCCCUUCCCUGACCUUUGGUUAAUCCUCAUUAGAGGGCAGUCCCUGUCCACGAAAACCUCCCCGACUUCUUCAGUCGCGGCACGCUCUCCUUCCUCUGGGUCCUCCCGCCCGUGCACCGUGCGUGGUCCGGGGACUCACAGCCAGGGCGCAGGUCCCCACCACUAGCUGCCCUCUCAGUGCCUGGCUCACACGAGAUGCACGACACUUUUGUGGUUUAGACUUUGUGACAACAAAUCCAGUCUUCGGUGAUUAUCCAAGAACGUUACAGAACCGACCCAAAUAAUACGAGGCGACCAAAGGUUAAACGGUCUGUACGCAUCUUUCCCCAAGAUACGCAAAGCAAGCAUCAAGAGGCUGCCACACGUCGAGAGACGGGACACCCACCCACGGACCCCAGUCUGGCCGGGCCGGUCCACGAGGGGCACCCGUGGAUGGCACCCCCCCACUCACCUGUGAACCAGACUGACGUACGUGAGGAAGGUCUCUCCGUUCUCGUACAGGAUGUACAGCGGGUACCCCACUAUGUCACCUUUGCCUUUCUGUCCAAACAUGGUCUUCGGGACCGCUGACAAUGGCCCGAAGUCAAACGCCACCGCUGUCUCGCCCAGAGACGCAGUGUAUGCCCUUCUGAAAAGACAUUUAAAAACCGAUGGGUCAAAAACAAGAAUGAAAACGAAACGUCUGCUAACAGGAGAUGGGGAUGGAGUUUGCACUCGACGGAGGACACAAAAUAGAGCACAAUUAAACGACAGAAACACGAAAUUAUACCCCGUUUCCUCUUAGUUUAAGCGUACAGACACGCAGACAGGACAGAUACACGCGCACACAGAGAGAAACAGGAAGCAAACGCUGAGCAGAGGGACACGUUCACCCCACAAGUAUCUCCUUCGCAUCGGCCCCGCGUCCCGGGCCCCACGCUGUCACGGGGUGCUGGGGACCCACCAGUGACUUCAACCAAGGCCCCGCCCUCCAGUGAGACACGCAGGGCACAUGCAGAAAGAACACGCAGCACAAAGCCAGGAAAUGACAUUGUCAAGAAAAAUGAAGUUGGGGAGGGGGGCUGCCUCGGGCUGGGCUGCCUGGGAAGGACCCUGACGCGGUGAUGUCUGAACACGGAUUCAAAGGAAGGAGGGGAGGCGUCAGCGGCCACAUGGGAAGGGGGUGGAUGUUGUCUGAGGAAUGAACAGCGAGGAGGCCGAGCUCAGAACCGGGACACAGAGGGAGAAAGAAACUGGAGGGGACAUCCUGUGGGUUGCGGUCAAGAAUAAAGCAGAAUGAAGGGCG